This 245-nucleotide ribosomal RNA is filed under the name uncultured bacterium. RNAcentral describes it as "partial 16S ribosomal RNA". It matches the Rfam family "Bacterial small subunit ribosomal RNA", at positions 107 to 353 of the family's 1533-position model. The record is from RNAcentral.
UGAGUAAUGUCUGGGAAACUGCCUGAUGGAGGGGGAUAACUACUGGAAACGGUAGCUAAUACCGCAUAAUGUCGCAAGACCAAAGAGGGGGACCUUCGGGCCUCUUGCCAUCGGAUGUGCCCAGAUGGGAUUAGCUUGUUGGUGGGGUAACGGCUCACCAAGGCGACGAUCCCUAGCUGGUCUGAGAGGAUGACCAGCCACACUGGAACUGAGACACGGUCCAGACUCCUACGGGAGGCAGCAUG